UCCUCUGUCGUCUAGUGGCCAAGAUACCCGCUUUUCAAAAUUGCGCUCCAAACGCUGUUUAACGCGGGCGACCCGGGUUCAAUUCCCGGCAGGGGAA
Molecule: non-coding RNA, 97 nt
Organism: Microstroma glucosiphilum
Lineage: Eukaryota; Fungi; Basidiomycota; Exobasidiomycetes; Microstromatales; Microstromataceae
Source: the annotation of a RefSeq genome assembly